RNAcentral lists this unclassified non-coding RNA (433 nucleotides) under soil metagenome. RNAcentral describes it as "partial contains 5.8S ribosomal RNA, internal transcribed spacer 2, and large subunit ribosomal RNA". The stretch from base 1 to 120 matches the Rfam family "5.8S ribosomal RNA", at positions 35 to 154 of the family's 154-position model. The record is from RNAcentral.
GAUGAAGAACGUAGUGAAAUGCGAUACGUAAUGUGAAUUGCAGAAUUCAGUGAAUCAUCGAAUCUUUGAACGCAUAUUGCGCUCUCUGGUAUUCCGGAGAGCAUGCUUGUUUGAGUAUCAGUAAACACCUCAACUUCCAUAUCUUUUUUGAAAUGGGAGUUGGACUUGAGUGAUCCCAACGCUUUUCCUCACCGAAAAGUGGCGGGUUACUUGAAAUGCAGGUGCAGCUUGACUUUUCUCUGAGCUAUAAGCAUAUCUAUUUAGUCUGCCUAAAAAACAGAUUAUUACCUUUGCUGCAGCUAACAUAAAGGAGAUUAGUUCUUGUGCUGACUGAUGCAGGAUUCACAAAGACAGGCUUCGGCCGACUUUGUAAACUCGAUCUCAAAUCAAGUAAGACUACCCGCUGAACUUAAGCAUAUCAAUAAGCGGAGGA